GCUGUCGUGGCCGAGUGGUUAAGGCGAUGGACUUGAAAUCCAUUGGGAUCUUCCCGCGUAGGUUCGAAUCCUGCCGGCAGCG
This 82-nucleotide transfer RNA is filed under the name Aplysia californica (California sea hare). Its description in RNAcentral is "tRNA-Ser (TGA) (tRNA-Ser-TGA-1-1)". It matches the Rfam family "tRNA". From Rfam's summary of the family: Transfer RNA (tRNA) molecules are approximately 80 nucleotides in length. Their secondary structure includes four short double-helical elements and three loops (D, anti-codon, and T loops). The record is from RNAcentral. Lineage: Eukaryota; Metazoa; Mollusca; Gastropoda; Aplysiida; Aplysiidae.